GGCCAUGCCCCUGGAGGGGUCUUUCAGGUGUGUCUUGGCUAAGGUGUACACAUAUAACCCCUGGGCCUGGUCACCUCAGGAUGGAAGUCUGAGUAGGACAUCUCUGAGAGGCUAUGGAAAACAAUUGAAUGCUGACACCCACUAUGCCAGCUACCCAACGCUGAUACCCACUAUGCCAGCUACCAGAAGGCUGGCACCCACUAUGCCAGCCACCAGAAGCCUGAAGCGACGUCUCGGGUUAUCACUUGUUGAAGAAGGGGACAUGCCUGUGAGCUGGCAAUCUGGGCAUUACAAGAUAAUUAUUUAG
Molecule: long non-coding RNA, 307 nt
Filed under: Callithrix jacchus (white-tufted-ear marmoset)
Lineage: Eukaryota; Metazoa; Chordata; Mammalia; Primates; Cebidae
Description: lncRNA (ENSCJAG00000085723.1)
Source: RNAcentral